AUAAUGCCAAUCCCGAAAACUGUUUUUUCUUGGUGCUUAGAGUCCUUCUUUUUUGUCGUCUAGCACCAUGAAAAAGCAGUCUUUGUGGUUGGUAUGUAC
RNAcentral lists this microRNA precursor (99 nucleotides) under Patiria miniata (bat star). Its description in RNAcentral is "microRNA pmi-mir-29b precursor". Its record names the gene pmi-mir-29b. The stretch from base 14 to 85 matches the Rfam family "mir-29 microRNA precursor family". Rfam says of the family: This family represents the microRNA (miRNA) precursors mir-29. Animal miRNAs are transcribed as ~70nt precursors and subsequently processed by the Dicer enzyme to give a ~22nt product. In this case the mature sequence comes from the 3' arm of the precursor. Lineage: Eukaryota; Metazoa; Echinodermata; Asteroidea; Valvatida; Asterinidae. The record is from miRBase by way of RNAcentral.